GCCGGAGUGGCGGAAUGGCAGACGCGACGGUCUCAAAAACCGUUGGAGGGCAACUUCCGUGUCGGUUCGAGUCCGACCUUCGGCACCA
RNAcentral lists this transfer RNA (88 nucleotides) under Dehalococcoidales bacterium. RNAcentral describes it as "tRNA-Leu". It matches the Rfam family "tRNA". Rfam says of the family: Transfer RNA (tRNA) molecules are approximately 80 nucleotides in length. Their secondary structure includes four short double-helical elements and three loops (D, anti-codon, and T loops). Further hydrogen bonds mediate the characteristic L-shaped molecular structure. tRNAs have two regions of fundamental functional importance: the anti-codon, which is responsible for specific mRNA codon recognition, and the 3' end, to which the tRNAs corresponding amino acid is attached (by aminoacyl-tRNA synthetases). tRNAs cope with the degeneracy of the genetic code in two manners: having more than one tRNA (with a specific anti-codon) for a particular amino acid; and 'wobble' base-pairing, i.e. permitting non-standard base-pairing at the 3rd anti-codon position. The record is from RNAcentral. Lineage: Bacteria; Bacillati; Chloroflexota; Dehalococcoidia; Dehalococcoidales.